CCAUCUCUCUCUACCUAUUGUCUCAUCUCUCUCUUUCUAUUGUUUCAUCUCUCUCUCUCUCAAUCUCUCUCUCUCUCUCUCUCUCUCUCUCUCUCUCUCUCUCUCUCUCUCUCUCUCUCUUUUACUCACUCGUAUCUCUUCAUCUUAUCUCUUUUUGCACUCAUGUAUCUCACUCCCUCAUAUAUCUUUGUCAUGUAUCUCUUCCUCUAUUUCAUAUUGAUGCAUCUUAGUUCUUUCUACACACAUGUCUCUCUCUUAUCUUUAUUGAUCCUUCUCGUGUCUCUCUUUUUCACCCUUCAAUCUCUCCCUUCAUUUAGAAUAAG
RNAcentral lists this long non-coding RNA (323 nucleotides) under Cicer arietinum (chickpea). RNAcentral's name for it is "long non-coding RNA (CARI_LNC003643)". The record is from RNAcentral. Lineage: Eukaryota; Viridiplantae; Streptophyta; Magnoliopsida; Fabales; Fabaceae.